GAUGAAGAACGCAGCGAAAUGCGAUAAGUAGUGUGAAUUGCAGAAUUCAGUGAAUCAUCGAAUCUUUGAACGCACAUUGCGCCCCAUGGUAUUCCGUGGGGCAUGCCUGUUCGAGCGUCAUUUACCCCCUCAAGCUCCGCUUGGUGUUGGGCGUCUGUCCCGCUUCGCGCGCGGACUCGCCCCAAAGGUAUUGGCAGCGGUCGUGCCAGCUUCUCGCGCAGCACAUUGCGCUUCUCGAGGCACCGGUGGGCCCGCGUCCAUCAAGCUCACCCCCCCAGUUUAACCUCGGAUCAGGUAGGGAUACCCGCUGAACUUAAGCAUAUCAAUAAGCGGAGGA
This 337-nucleotide unclassified non-coding RNA is filed under the name soil metagenome. RNAcentral's name for it is "partial contains 5.8S ribosomal RNA, internal transcribed spacer 2, and large subunit ribosomal RNA". The stretch from base 1 to 120 matches the Rfam family "5.8S ribosomal RNA", at positions 35 to 154 of the family's 154-position model. The record is from RNAcentral.